UACAGAGGUCCCAAGCGUUGUUCGGAUUCACUGGGCGUAAAGGGUGCGUAGGCGGUCAUGUAAGUCGGAUGUGAAAUCCCGUCGCUUAACGCUGGAACUGCAUUCGAUACUGCCGUGCUUGAGGACUGGAGAGGAGACUGGAAUUUACGGUGUAGCGGUGAAAUGCGUAGAUAUCGUAAGGAAGACCAGUGGCGAAGGCGGGUCUCUGGACAGUUCCUGACGCUGAGGCACGAAGGUCAGGGGAGCAAACGGG
Molecule: ribosomal RNA, 253 nt
Filed under: uncultured bacterium
Lineage: Bacteria
Description: partial 16S ribosomal RNA
Rfam family: Bacterial small subunit ribosomal RNA
Source: RNAcentral